AGCAAAUCUCAGUUUGUGGUUUUGCUGAGGCCCACACCUGCACGGCAUGAGGAUUGCUCUCCCAGCCGCAUCAGCCACUGGCUUCUCAUUUCGGGGGGUGUGAGGCUCCCUCUGAGCCCAGCCAGGCAGUGGAGGAAAUGAAGAGACUCUCAAGGGAGGGGCGAAGGAGAGAGGAUGGGGUAGGGUGGAGAGCAGCCACCCUGAGAGCAGCUGCCUCUGCAAGACGGCGGGCUCCUCCCGCUGCUGGAGCUGCUCCUCCAGGAGUCAGCUGCUGCUAGAUGCCUCUGAGAAGCUCUGUUUCCAGGUAAGGAGACCACCUGUCCUAAGACCCACAGGACCUGGAACAGGAACCGGCUGAGUGGACUCCCUGGUGAAAUGAAUUGGACCAACUGUGGGUUCCAGGACUCCAGAGUCAGCAGCGAUGCCUUCCUGAACAACCCCUCACCAUUGCUCUGCUCGCAGAACCUCACUACGUUGAAGCCAGAGAUCAAACCUGAUGAACUCAGCAGUUUGGGCACAGCAGCCACAGUCAUCUCUGGCUCCGUUGGUGUGGUGGCUCUCAUCUUGCUUCUGGUGGGGUCCACUCUUGUCCAUGACCCUGAAGAAAUGGAGACAUGAGAGGCUAUUUAAGAAACAACUGAGGCACCAGACCAACUUUCUCCAUAAAACUUCGGAGUUUUCCUGCCACACUGAUGCCAUAUAUUCCAAUGUGAUCAACCUGACUCCCUGGAAAGAGGAUGACUUCGCUGUCUAUGCCAACGUGCCCCCUUUCGAUCGGCCCAGGAAGACAUCACCAGACCAAGUGGAAUAUGCCUCCAUUGUAUUCCACUGAUGGGAAGCCAAUGCGAUGCUUCAGGCUGAGAGUCAAACCUAUGCCCCAGCUGGUGUGUGUGUGUGUGUGUGUGUGUGUGUGUGUGUGUCUAGUUAGAAAAAUGCAUUAAAACAUUCUAAUGACGGUAAAUGGCUGGGUAUUCUUCUAAUUGAUUGGAAAUAAAGUGCAGUUCUAAUGGAAAGGAGUGGCA
This 1022-nucleotide long non-coding RNA is filed under the name Felis catus (domestic cat). RNAcentral describes it as "lncRNA (ENSFCAG00000046002.2)". Lineage: Eukaryota; Metazoa; Chordata; Mammalia; Carnivora; Felidae. The record is from RNAcentral.